UACGUAGGGGGCGAGCGUUGUCCGGAUUUAUUGGGCGUAAAGGGCGCGCAGGCGGCCUUUUAAGUCAGUUGUGAAAGGUCUCGGCUCAACCGAGGAGUGGCAGCUGAAACUGGAAGGCUUGAGUGCAGGAGAGGAGAGCGGAAUUCUCGGUGUAGCGGUGGAAUGCGUAGAGAUCGGGAGGAACACCAGUGGCGAAGGCGGCUCUCUGGCCUGUAACUGACGCUGAGGCGCGAAAGCGUGGGGAGCAAACAGG
RNAcentral lists this ribosomal RNA (253 nucleotides) under uncultured bacterium. RNAcentral's name for it is "partial 16S ribosomal RNA". It matches the Rfam family "Bacterial small subunit ribosomal RNA", at positions 524 to 776 of the family's 1533-position model. The record is from RNAcentral.